GUGCAGCAGGCGAGAAUCUUCGGCAAUGGGCGCAAGCCUGACCGAGCGACGCCGCGUGCGGGAUGAAGGCCUUCGGGUUGUAAACCGCUGUCAGGAGGAAGGAAAUGCAUAGGGGUACUCUCCUAUGUUUGACCGAUCUCCAAAGGAAGUGCGGGCUAAGUACGUGCCAGCAGCCGCGGUAAUACGUACCGCACGAACGUUAUUCGGAAUCACUGGGCUUAAAGGGUGCGUAGGCGGCUUGGAAGGUGGGGUGUGAAAUCCCUCGGCUCAACCGAGUAACUGCGCUCCAAACCGCCAGGCUUGAGGGAGGCAGAGGUGAGCGGAACUGAUGGUGGAGCGGUGAAAUGCGUUGAUAUCAUCAGGAACACCAGUGGCGAAGGCGGCUCACUGGGCCUCUUCUGACGCUGAGGCACGAAAGCUAGGGUAGCGAACGGGAUUAGAUACCCCGGUAGUCC
This 455-nucleotide ribosomal RNA is filed under the name uncultured Planctomycetota bacterium. RNAcentral describes it as "bacterial SSU rRNA". It matches the Rfam family "Bacterial small subunit ribosomal RNA", at positions 346 to 796 of the family's 1533-position model. The record is from RNAcentral. Lineage: Bacteria; Pseudomonadati; Planctomycetota.